RNAcentral lists this ribosomal RNA (566 nucleotides) under Cercospora cocciniae. Its description in RNAcentral is "eukaryotic LSU rRNA". The stretch from base 205 to 358 matches the Rfam family "5.8S ribosomal RNA". The record is from RNAcentral. Lineage: Eukaryota; Fungi; Ascomycota; Dothideomycetes; Mycosphaerellales; Mycosphaerellaceae.
UUUUGGAAGUAAAAGUCGUAACAAGGUCUCCGUAGGUGAACCUGCGGAGGGAUCAUUACUGAGUGAGGGCCUUCGGGCUCGACCUCCAACCCUUUGUGAACACAACUUGUUGCUUCGGGGGCGACCCUGCCGUUUCGACGGCGAGCGCCCCCGGAGGCCUUCAAACACUGCAUCUUUGCGUCGGAGUUUAAGUAAAUUAAACAAAACUUUCAACAACGGAUCUCUUGGUUCUGGCAUCGAUGAAGAACGCAGCGAAAUGCGAUAAGUAAUGUGAAUUGCAGAAUUCAGUGAAUCAUCGAAUCUUUGAACGCACAUUGCGCCCCUUGGUAUUCCGAGGGGCAUGCCUGUUCGAGCGUCAUUUCACCACUCAAGCCUCGCUUGGUAUUGGGCGCCGCGGUGUUCCGCGCGCCUCAAAGUCUCCGGCUGAGCUGUCCGUCUCUAAGCGUUGUGAUUUCAUUAAUCGCUUCGGAGCGCGGGCGGUCGCGGCCGUUAAAUCUUUCACAAGGUUGACCUCGGAUCAGGUAGGGAUACCCGCUGAACUUAAGCAUAUCAAUAAGCGGAGGAAG